GACGAACGCUGGCGGCGUGCUUAACACAUGCAAGUCGAACGGAAAGGCCCUGCUUUUGUGGGGUGCUCGAGUGGCGAACGGGUGAGUAACACGUGAGUAACCUGCCCUUGACUUUGGGAUAACUUCAGGAAACUGGGGCUAAUACCGGAUAGGAGCUCCUGCUGCAUGGUGGGGGUUGGAAAGUUUCGGCGGUUGGGGAUGGACUCGCGGCUUAUCAGCUUGUUGGUGGGGUAGUGGCUUACCAAGGCUUUGACGGGUAGCCGGCCUGAGAGGGUGACCGGCCACAUUGGGACUGAGAUACGGCCCAGACUCCUACGGGAGGCAGCAGUGGGGAAUAUUGCACAAUGGGCGGAAGCCUGAUGCAGCAACGCCGCGUGCGGGAUGACGGCCUUCGGGUUGUAAACCGCUUUCGCCUGUGACGAAGCGUGAGUGACGGUAAUGGGUAAAGAAGCACCGGCUAACUACGUGCCAGCAGCCGCGGUGAUACGUAGGGUGCGAGCGUUGUCCGGAUUUAUUGGACGUAAAGGGCUCGUAGGUGGUUGAUCGCGUCGGAAGUGUAAUCUUGGGGCUUAACCCUGAGCGUGCUUUCGAUACGGGUUGACUUGAGGAAGGUAGGGGAGAAUGGAAUUCCUGGUGGAGCGGUGGAAUGCGCAGAUAUCAGGAGGAACACCAGUGGCGAAGGCGGUUCUCUGGGCCUUUCCUGACGCUGAGGAGCGAAAGCGUGGGGAGCGAACAGGCUUAGAUACCCUGGUAGUCCACGCUGUAAACGGUGGGUACUAGGUGUGGGGUCCAUUCCACGGGUUCCGUGCCGUAGCUAACGCUUUAAGUACCCGCCUGGGGAGUACGGCCGCAAGGCUAAAACUCAAAGGAAUUGACGGGGCCCCGCACAAGCGGCGGAGCAUGCGGAUUAAUUCGAUGCAACGCGUAGAACCUUACCUGGGUUUGACAUGGAUCGGGAGUGCUCAGAGAUGGGUGUGCCUCUUUUGGGGUCGGUUCACAGGUGGUGCAUGGCUGUCGUCAGCUCGUGUCGUGAGAUGUUGGGUUAAGUCCCGCAACGAGCGCAACCCUUGUUCACUGUUGCCAGCACGUUAUGGUGGGGACUCAGUGGAGACCGCCGGGGUCAACUCGGAGGAAGGUGGGGAUGACGUCAAGUCAUCAUGCCCCUUAUGUCCAGGGCUUCACGCAUGCUACAAUGGCUGGUACAGAGAGUGGCGAGCCUGUGAGGGUGAGCGAAUCUCGGAAAGCCGGUCUCAGUUCGGAUUGGGGUCUGCAACUCGACCUCAUGAAGUCGGAGUCGCUAGUAAUCGCAGAUCAGCAACGCUGCGGUGAAUACGUUCCCGGGGCUUGUACACACCGCCCGUCAAGUCAUGAAAGUAGGUAACACCCGAAGCCGGUGGCCUAACCGUUGUGGGGGAGCCGUCGAAGGUGGGACUGGUGAUUAGGACUAAGUCGUAACAAGGUAGCCGUACCGGAAGG
Molecule: ribosomal RNA, 1476 nt
Filed under: uncultured bacterium
Lineage: Bacteria
Description: 16S ribosomal RNA
Rfam family: Bacterial small subunit ribosomal RNA
Source: RNAcentral